RNAcentral lists this ribosomal RNA (369 nucleotides) under uncultured bacterium. RNAcentral's name for it is "bacterial SSU rRNA". It matches the Rfam family "Bacterial small subunit ribosomal RNA", at positions 790 to 1167 of the family's 1533-position model. The record is from RNAcentral.
GUAGUCCACACUGUAAACGAUGGAUACUAGGUGUAGGCACGAACGUGUCUGUGCCGGCGCUAACGCAAUAAGUAUCCCACCUGGGGAGUACGACCGCAAGGUUGAAACUCAAAGGAAUUGACGGGGGCCCGCACAAGCAGUGGAGUAUGUGGUUUAAUUCGACGCAACGCGAAGAACCUUACCAAGACUUGACAUAUACUGGAAUACUUGGGAAAUCAAGUAGCCCUUCGGGGCUGGUAAACAGGUGAUGCAUGGUUGUCGUCAGCUCGUGUCGUGAGAUGUUGGGUUAAGUCCCGCAACGAGCGCAACCCUCGUGAUUAGUUGCUCAGAUAAUGAGAACUCUAAUCAGACUGCCGUAGUUAAUACGGA